UGUAUUUUGUAAAGUUGUUCUAGUUUUGUAACUAAAAUGGUUUGGCAGUGAGCGAUUCUUAUUAGGGGAAUAUGCAUAGUGAAGGAUGGUCCACCUAUUAGUUUACUCUUUUUAUGUUGGUGUAUGUCUGGUUUGAUAUUAUUGUUGAAUAAUUUAAGUUUGUGUAGUUUUAGUUAAGCUAAGUCUAUGUGCUGCUUAUGGGAGUUUUUGUGUGUUACAUUAAUAAGGGUGUUAUUGUAAGAUGAUGUGAUUUAGGA
Molecule: ribosomal RNA, 257 nt
Filed under: Echinococcus granulosus
Lineage: Eukaryota; Metazoa; Platyhelminthes; Cestoda; Cyclophyllidea; Taeniidae
Description: partial small subunit ribosomal RNA
Source: RNAcentral